CAUAUUAAUUGAUAAUAUAUUUAUUAAUAUAUAGUAAUUAUUAUUUUUAUUAUUCAAUAAAUAUAUAAAAUAUAUCACAAUGUACUUUGUACUUUUUGAUAAAAUUAAAUUAAAAAGUUACGAUUAUUGUUAUGAACAAUCUGUUUUCGAUUUGGAUAAAAUUUUGUAAAUUUUAAGAAUACCAUAAUAUAUAAUAUAUAAUGUAUAAUAUAUAGCAUAAUAGCAUAAUAACAUGUAAUAAUUUUUGCUCCAGGAAAUAAAAUGCUUGCAACCGUUUUAUCCCAACUUGCAAAAAUCAAUGAUCUGCUAGAACAUAACGCUGCGACCAAUGCUUUUUUAAAAAAUAUAAUAAAAAUGCCAAUUGAUGUAGAGAAAUAUAUGUAAAUUUUGAAAUUCAAUUUAAUGACACAUAUAUAUUUUUAUUCAUGAUUGUAAUCUAAUGAAAUGUUCACGAGUGGUUUAAGAAAUAAAAAACUAUUUCUUAAAAUUUAAAUUUCAAAAAA
This is a long non-coding RNA of Apis mellifera (honey bee), 503 nucleotides long. RefSeq lists it as uncharacterized. The record is from RefSeq and is a predicted model, not a curated record. NCBI's taxonomy places the organism in Eukaryota, Metazoa, Arthropoda, Insecta, Hymenoptera, Apidae. The transcript has 2 exons.